RNA transcript from Rhinopithecus roxellana (golden snub-nosed monkey), 3315 nucleotides. It is a transcript of the gene named cyclin-Y-like protein 2, with no coding region annotated. The record is from RefSeq and is a predicted model, not a curated record. Lineage: Eukaryota; Metazoa; Chordata; Mammalia; Primates; Cercopithecidae. The transcript has 9 exons.
GACCCAACACCAGGCCCAUGGGGGCUAUGAAGUCUGGCGUAGUCAAAGGAAUGAGAAAACACAAGUUAAGAGAGAAAGUGGGACCAUGGGGCCAACACUAGUGUGGAGGCUGCAAAGGCCCCGAGUUCUGGGAGCCUAUUUAUUGGUGAUCAAACAAAGAAACAGGUGGUGAGGAUGUGGAGUUUGAAAGGAAGCGGUGUAUCAAGUGAAUGAGCUACAGUUGUGAUGGUUUAGCAUUUUCUUUGAAACAUAUGGCUACUUGAGAUAAAGGGAGUGCUAGAAGCAAGGAGUUAGCAAUUCUAGACACAUUCCAAAGGCUACCAGGAAUUUUAGAUCCUGGACCCUGGACAUGUUCCAAGCCCUGCCUCAGCUUCUCUUCCAACCCUCAGCUUUUCUCCCAGCACUCAACACUGGCCAUUGAGAACCCCUUCAGCUGGUUGCAGUGUUUGAUGAGCAAGAUCUACAUCAUGGAGGUGAUGACACCAGUGCCAGCUCCAUGCAUAGCCAGAGCCUAGAGAGAUUUAAUAGUGCUAGUGAGCUUGGCACCAACAAUAUCUCACUCAGCCUUUCAGUCUGAUCAAGCAGCAAGUGAAAUUGAGGUCACAUCUUCAGUACUUCAUGCAAAUAUACCUUUGGAGUCCAACUCUUCUGACCAUCCAAAGGCAAGCACAAUAUUCCUGAGAAAAUCUCAAACAGAUGGUAUCUACUGAGCAUGUUACUCAACAAUACAGUUCAUGUUCGACAAUAUUCCUUGAUGACAGCACAGCCAGCCAACCUCAUCUUACAAUGACACUGAAAUCUGUGACCUUGGCGAUAUAUUAUCAUAUCAAGCAAAGCGAGAAGAGGUUUUGGAGGAAUAUUUUAAGUAUGAUCCUGAACACAAAUUCAUUUUCAGAUUUGUUCAUACUCUGUUUAAAGCCAUAAGGCUAACAGCUGAAUUUGCAAUCAUCAGUUUGAUUUACAUAGAAAGACUUGUAAGUUAUGCUGAUAUUGACAUUUGUCCAACUAACUGGAAGAGGAUUGUCUUGGGAGCCAUUCUUCUUGCCUCCAAGGUUUGGAGUGAUAUGGCUGUGUGGAAUGAGGACUACUGCAAGCUCUUUGAGAACAUUACAGUUGAAGAAAUGAAUGAGUUGGAAAGGCAAUUCUUGAAGCUAAUUAAUUAUAAUAUUGGCGUUACUGGCAGCGUUUAUAGCAGAUUCUACUUUGAUCUUCGCACCUUGGCACAUGACAACGGCCUGUAUUCGCCAGUUUAUCUUCUUGACAGAGAAAGAGCAUGGAAGCUGGAGGCUUUUUCAAGGAUGGAACAAUACAAAGUUUUCUAUAGUGCUGCCAAGAAUGGGUCUUUGAGUGCUGAUGAUUUAAUUCAUCUUCAGCGUGCUAAGGCCAUCCUCUUCUGAAGGAAGAAAUAAGGGGUAUUGUAACAUCUGAACCCCUCAUCAAAAAAGACAGGAAAAUAUCACCUCUCCUGCUAAAGAACUAGAAAAGUUGGUAUUUUCAAAAGAAGAAACACCUCAAUUCAAGUUAACUCAAGGAAAACUAAGAUUGCACUUCAUAGUAAAGAAUGGGAUGUUGUCAGGGUAACAACACACCCUUACACUCUUCUGUCCCGUUUAAUGUAUACAGAGUUAUAAAAACCACUCCAAAGUGAAGACUCCUUCUGCCCACGCACAGAUAUUUGCUUAGUGUGUGGGCUGAUAGCUGUGAACUAUGUAAGGCUUUUAAAACAAUAGUUUAACUUUUUAGAUUUUAAAGAUAACUUUUCUGUUUCUUUAUGUUUUUUCUUUUCCCCAAUAUUGCUGCAUAUGCAUUUGGAAUCAGUGCAGUAUCACUGUUAAAACAUGGGAGUCUAAUAACUCCUAAAGCCACUAGGAGCAGACCCAGGAUUGUCAGGUAUGGAAGGGCUCUUCCUUCCUACUUUUACCAUGGAAGCUACUAGUUACUGGCAAUCAUCAAGCAAAAGCUGCCAGAUAACAUUUGCCAUUCACAUCCUUUGUAAGCCCUUCUUAUUAGCAGUUUAGCAUGUUUGGGGUCAUAAAAAGAGAAAGUAUUGGUUAUUGAUUAUCUACUUUUAUGAAGGUCUGUGGUGUAUUUCUUGUGAACUAUAAUGGUUCUCAUUUGCUGAUAAAUUUUCUUAUUGUUAAGUAAAUGUAUUCAAAGAUGUUUUCAUAGUGCCAAGCAACAUGGUGAUCCAGUGGUUAUGUAAAAAUAAUAAAAUAUGAGGUGUCCUGAAAGUUUCAGGGCAGUUUUUAGCUUUAAUAUAGUGUGCCUGGGCCCUCCAGAGGACUGCAGCAUAUAUAUACAUGCUGUAAAUCUUUACAAAAUAUCAUUUGAAAGUGUAAUUGUAUUUUUUCUUUUUAUUUUUAAUAGAUGGUGCCUCACUAUAUUGCCCAAGCUACAGUACCAUGAUUAAUUAGAGUCACAAUCGUAGCGCACCACAGCCUGAAAACCCUGGCCUCAAGCAAUCUUCCCAUGUCAACCUACCAAGUAGCUGGGACCAUAGGUGUGUACCACCGCCUCUGGCUUUAUUUUGCAGAAUUUGAAUAUUAAGCUUUUAACUUUUUGUUUCAGUCAGUAUCUGCUAUCUUCAAGAAGGGCUGAAACAAAAAAUUAAAAGCUUAAUAUUCAGGAGCUAGGCAUGCUUGUAGUCCCAGCUAUUCACGAGGCUUAAAUGGGAGGAUCACUUGAGGCCUAGCCUUGGAGGCUGCAGUGCACUGUGAUUGUGCCUGUAAAUAGCCAUUGCACUCCAGCCUUGGCAACAUAAUGAGACCCUGUCACUUAAAAAAAUGGCAAAACUAAAUAAACGUUAAAAAAAAAUACAACAGGCUUUUCAAUGAUGUUUUGUAAAUGUUUGUAGCAUUGUUACUUUUACAAGUAUCAAAGCUUAAAAUUACACUAAGACUUUUGGAAUUCUUGUGGUUUUAUUAAGUUCCCUUUUCUCUUGUAAAGUAGCUCUUUGGAUGGCUUUUAUCUGCAUUGAUCACCUCAAAUUAUUUUCCCUAGAUGUGAUGAAGAGGAGGAUCUGUGUUAAUUCACAUGUAACUAAUGAGAAGGAAGUGGACCAUAAUAGUAGUAGGUGAUGUAAUAAUUUUAUUAUCCCACAUGUUAACCUGGGUGCAGGUAUCAUAUUUCAUGUCCUGCUAUUUAAAAGGAACUUCCAUAAGCCUUAGGAACACUAGCUCCUGAAAAAUAUCAUUUAUGGAAUGCAGAACUUAAAGACUGAAGUAUUGAUUGCAGUUUUAUUUUCAAAAGAUAAAUGCUACAAUUGAUGUGGUUUUCAUUUCUCAUGUUUAUAUUAAAAGAAAACUAGUAAACUAA